RNAcentral lists this transfer RNA (74 nucleotides) under Candidatus Omnitrophota bacterium. RNAcentral describes it as "tRNA-Arg". It matches the Rfam family "tRNA". From Rfam's summary of the family: Transfer RNA (tRNA) molecules are approximately 80 nucleotides in length. Their secondary structure includes four short double-helical elements and three loops (D, anti-codon, and T loops). Lineage: Bacteria; Pseudomonadati; Candidatus Omnitrophota. The record is from RNAcentral.
GCGCCUGUAGCUCAAUUGGAUAGAGCAUCAGCCUACGGAGCUGGUUGUUAGAGGUUCAAGUCCUCUCAGGCGCG